GACGAACGCUGGCGGCGUGCUUAACACAUGCCAGUCGAACGGAAAGGCCCUGCUUUUGUGGGGUGCUCGAGUGGCGAACGGGUGAGUAACACGUGAGUAACCUGCCCUUGACUUUGGGAUAACUUCAGGAAACUGGGGCUAAUACCGGAUAGGAGCUCCUGCUGCAUGGUGGGGGUUGGAAAGUUUCGGCGGUUGGGGAUGGACUCGCGGCUUAUCAGCUUGUUGGUGGGGUAGUGGCUUACCAAGGCUUUGACGGGUAGCCGGCCUGAGAGGGUGACCGGCCACAUUGGGACUGAGAUACGGCCCAGACUCCUACGGGAGGCAGCAGUGGGGAAUAUUGCAUAAUGGGCGGAAGCCUGAUGCAGCAACGCCGCGUGCGGGAUGACGGCCUUCGGGUUGUAAACCGCUUUCGCCUGUGACGAAGCGUGAGUGACGGUAAUGGGUAAAGAAGCACCGGCUAACUACGUG
RNAcentral lists this ribosomal RNA (468 nucleotides) under uncultured bacterium. Its description in RNAcentral is "partial 16S ribosomal RNA". It matches the Rfam family "Bacterial small subunit ribosomal RNA", at positions 28 to 507 of the family's 1533-position model. The record is from RNAcentral.